RNAcentral lists this ribosomal RNA (301 nucleotides) under uncultured bacterium. RNAcentral's name for it is "partial 16S ribosomal RNA". It matches the Rfam family "Bacterial small subunit ribosomal RNA", at positions 509 to 809 of the family's 1533-position model. The record is from RNAcentral.
CAGUCGCCGCGGUAAUACGAAGGGGGCUAGCGUUGUUCGGAAUUACUGGGCGUAAAGCGCACGUAGGCGGAUCGAUCAGUCAGGGGUGAAAUCCCAGGGCUCAACCCUGGAACUGCCUUUGAUACUGUCGAUCUGGAGUAUGGAAGAGGUGAGUGGAAUUCCGAGUGUAGAGGUGAAAUUCGUAGAUAUUCGGAGGAACACCAGUGGCGAAGGCGGCUCACUGGUCCAUUACUGACGCUGAGGUGCGAAAGCGUGGGGAGCAAACAGGAUUAGAUACCCCUGUAGUCCCUGUCUCUUAUAA